CGGAGAGGUCGGGGUGACCGCUGGUGACGUCGACGUGGCGUCACGAGAGGAAAGUCCGAGCUUCACAGGGCAGGGUGCUGGUUAACGGCCAGUCGAGGCAACUCGCAGGAAAGUGCAACAGAAAGCAAACCGCCUACCGGCUCCGGCCGGAAGGUAAGGGUGAAACGGUGCGGCAAGAGCGCACCGCCUCUCCGGUGACGGAGAGGGCACGGCAAACCCCACCCGAAGCAAGACCAGACAGGGGUCGCGUGGCCCGCGCGAUGACUCCGGGUUGGUCGCUCGAGCCCACCGGCAACGGUGGGCCUAGAUGAAUGGUCACCACUACACAAAACUCGGCUUAUCGACCUCUCCGCCGU
This 356-nucleotide RNase P RNA is filed under the name Deltaproteobacteria bacterium. RNAcentral describes it as "RNase P RNA component class A". It matches the Rfam family "Bacterial RNase P class A". From Rfam's summary of the family: Ribonuclease P (RNase P) is a ubiquitous endoribonuclease, found in archaea, bacteria and eukarya as well as chloroplasts and mitochondria. Its best characterised activity is the generation of mature 5'-ends of tRNAs by cleaving the 5'-leader elements of precursor-tRNAs. Lineage: Bacteria; Pseudomonadati; Myxococcota; Myxococcia. The record is from RNAcentral.